RNAcentral lists this ribosomal RNA (422 nucleotides) under uncultured archaeon. Its description in RNAcentral is "partial 16S ribosomal RNA". It matches the Rfam family "Archaeal small subunit ribosomal RNA", at positions 323 to 746 of the family's 1478-position model. The record is from RNAcentral.
CUACGGGUGGCACCAGGCGAGAAAACUUUGCAAUGUGCGAAAGCACGACAAGGUUAAUCCGAGUGGUUUGUGCUAAACGAACCCUUUGACGGUCCUAGAAACACUGUUGAAUAAGGGGUGGGCAAGUUCUGGUGUCAGCCGCCGCGGUAAAACCAGCACCUCAAGUGGUCAGGAUGAUUAUUGGGCCUAAAGCAUCCGUAGCCGGCUCUGUAAGUUUUCGGUUAAAUCUGUACGCUCAACGUACAGGCUGCCGGGAAUACUGCAGAGCUAGGGAGUGGGAGAGGUAGACGGUACUCGGUAGGAAGGGGUAAAAUCCUUUGAUCUAUUGAUGACCACCUGUGGCGAAGGCGGUCUACCAGAACACGUCCGACGGUGAGGGAUGAAAGCUGGGGGAGCAAACCGGAUUAGAUACCCGCGUAGUC